GAUGAACGGCUGGCGGCGUGCCUAAUACAUGCAAGUCGAACGGGGAUAGCAAUAUCCUAGUGGCGAACGGGUGAGUAACACGUAGGUAACCUGCCUUUUAGUUUGGGAUACCCAGAGGAAACUUUGGUUAAUACCGGAUAUGAGCUUUAGAGGCAUCUCUAGAGCUUGAAAGGGGCUUCAAAGCCCCGCUUUAAGAUGGACCUGCGGCGCAUUAGCUAGUUGGUGAGAUAACAGCCCACCAAGGCUCGGAUGCGUAGCCGAUCUGAGAGGAUGAACGGCCACAUUGGAACUGAGACACGGUCCAAACUCCUACGGGAGGCAGCAGUAAGGAAUUUUCGGCAAUGGGGGAAACCCUGACCGAGCAACGCCGCGUGAGUGACGAAGGUCUUUUGAUCGUAAAGCUCUGUUGUUAGGGAUGAACUAUACUUUUAGGAAAUGAGGAGUAUUUGACAGUACCUAACCAGAAAGCCACGGCUAACUACGUG
Molecule: ribosomal RNA, 485 nt
Filed under: uncultured bacterium
Lineage: Bacteria
Description: bacterial SSU rRNA
Rfam family: Bacterial small subunit ribosomal RNA
Source: RNAcentral